RNAcentral lists this ribosomal RNA (497 nucleotides) under uncultured bacterium. RNAcentral describes it as "partial 16S ribosomal RNA". It matches the Rfam family "Bacterial small subunit ribosomal RNA", at positions 28 to 507 of the family's 1533-position model. The record is from RNAcentral.
GAUGAACGCUGGCGGCGUGCCUAAUACAUGCAAGUCGAGCGAACAGAUGAGGAGCUUGCUCCUCUGACAUUAGCGGCGGACGGGUGAGUAACACGUGGAUAACCUACCUAUAAGACUGGGAUAACUUCGGGAAACCGGAGCUAAUACCGGAUAAUAUAUUGAACCGCAUGGUUCAAUAGUGAAAGACGGUUUUGCUGUCACUUAUAGAUGGAUCCGCGCCGCAUUAGCUAGUUGGUAUGGUAACGGCUUACCAAGGCAACGAUGCGUAGCCGACCUGAGAGGGUGAUCGGCCACACUGGAACUGAGACACGGUCCAGACUCCUACGGGAGGCAGCAGUAGGGAAUCUUCCGCAAUGGGCGAAAGCCUGACGGAGCAACGCCGCGUGAGUGAUGAAGGUCUUCGGAUCGUAAAACUCUGUUAUUAGGGAAGAACAAAUGUGUAAGUAACUAUGCACGUCUUGACGAUACCUAAUCAGAAAGCCACGGCUAACUACGUG